AGUGGGACAGGUCAAUUGGUUUGUUCUUCUGUCUCUUGCUCGCUGUCUUCUGCCUGUUCAGCGCUUCUCCUCUCCUCUCCUAUCCGUCUGAUCUUUCUUGGCUGGUUGGAUCUUAAUCAGGUGUCUGGAUGAGUCUGCAGGACCUGUAACCUAACUGGAUAAAACAGUAAACUCAUCCAUUGUAUAUACUCUGAGUAAUACACUGCUUUUGUUCAGAAAAGGUAAGCACCGCUGUGUUAGGAUGAUCCUGGAUCCAGAUGUUACACUAACCUUGGAUUCUUCUGGAGUCUAAAGCCUUCACAAUUGGUCACAAAUUCUGACUGUCAAAUGAGAUAAUGUUUUCUAUGAUUUUCUGGCAGCAUUAUGCCCAUGUUGUGCAUCUGGCCCCAAAGUAAUUGGUUAGGAGGGUCAAGGAAAGCAUUUUGGUAUGCUUCUUUUGUACUUAAGUCUGUCUCAUGUGUCCUUUUGUUUCACACUCUGCUUCUUCUCUACCGAACCAAAAUCUUUAGCACAAAACCGUUCUUGACAGCUGUGCAAUAGGGGAUGCAUUUUGCAUGCUCAUGGUGAACAAGUAGGCCAUGUUUUCCAUUUGUAAGUGUUUGGUUGGUGGAGCGUUUAUUUGGCUUUAGAUAGUAGUGGUCUACUUCAGUACGAUAUGCUACUCAAUGAAUAGCAGAGUUCAUGAUGAAAUAAAACUUUUUUAUCUCUUAGACUCUUACAAAUUGAAUUUUUAUUAUAAUUUUAUCUGAGUUCUCUAUGAGAGCCUUUAUGUAAUAAAUAUUUGAUAGAAGUUGGUAAAAUGGUGUUUUUCUAAAUAAUAUUAAAUGCA
Molecule: non-coding RNA, 829 nt
Organism: Nelumbo nucifera (sacred lotus)
Lineage: Eukaryota; Viridiplantae; Streptophyta; Magnoliopsida; Proteales; Nelumbonaceae
Source: RefSeq, a predicted model, not a curated record